GACGAACGCUGGCGGCGUGCUUAACACAUGCAAGUCGAACGGAAAGACCCUGCUUUUGUGGGAUGCUCGAGUGGCGAACGGGUGAGUAACACGUGAGUAACCUGCCCUUGACUUUGGGAUAACUUCAGGAAACUGGGGCUAAUACCGGAUAGGAGCUCCUGCUGCAUGGUGGGGGUUGGAAAGUUUCGGCGGUUGGGGAUGGACUCGCGGCUUAUCAGCUUGUUGGUGGGGUAGUGGCUUACCAAGGCUUUGACGGGUAGCCGGCCUGAGAGGGUGACCGGCCACAUUGGGACUGAGAUACGGCCCAGACUCCUACGGGAGGCAGCAGUGGGGAAUAUUGCACAAUGGGCGGAAGCCUGAUGCAGCAACGCCGCGUGCGGGAUGACGGCCUUCGGGUUGUAAACCGCUUUCGCCUGUGACGAAGCGUGAGUGACGGUAAUGGGUAAAGAAGCACCGGCUAACUACGUG
This 468-nucleotide ribosomal RNA is filed under the name uncultured bacterium. RNAcentral's name for it is "partial 16S ribosomal RNA". It matches the Rfam family "Bacterial small subunit ribosomal RNA", at positions 28 to 507 of the family's 1533-position model. The record is from RNAcentral.